This 434-nucleotide ribosomal RNA is filed under the name uncultured Lachnospiraceae bacterium. RNAcentral's name for it is "partial 16S ribosomal RNA". It matches the Rfam family "Bacterial small subunit ribosomal RNA", at positions 341 to 792 of the family's 1533-position model. Lineage: Bacteria; Bacillati; Bacillota; Clostridia; Lachnospirales; Lachnospiraceae. The record is from RNAcentral.
ACGGAAGGCAGCAGUGGGGAAUAUUGCACAAUGGGGGAAACCCUGAUGCAGCGACGCCGCGUGAGUGAAGAAGUAUUUCGGUAUGUAAAGCUCUAUCAGCAGGAAAGAAAAUGACGGUACCUGACUAAGAAGCCCCGGCUAACUACGUGCCAGCAGCCGCGGUAAUAAGUAGGGGGCAAGCGUUAUCCGGAUUUACUGGGUGUAAAGGGAGCGUAGACGGCUUUGCAAGUCUGAAGUGAAAGCCCGGGGCUCAACCCCGGAACUGCUUUGGAAACUGUAGAGCUAGAGUGCAGGAGAGGUAAGUGGAAUUCCUAGUGUAGCGGUGAAAUGCGUAGAUAUUAGGAGGAACACCAGUGGCGAAGGCGGCUUACUGGACUGUAACUGACGUUGAGGCUCGAAGGCGUGGGGAGCAAACAGGAUUAGAUACCCUGGUA